RNAcentral lists this ribosomal RNA (166 nucleotides) under uncultured bacterium. RNAcentral describes it as "partial 16S ribosomal RNA". It matches the Rfam family "Bacterial small subunit ribosomal RNA", at positions 346 to 504 of the family's 1533-position model. The record is from RNAcentral.
AGGCAGCAGUGGGGAAUAUUGGACAAUGGGCGAAAGCCUGAUCCAGCAAUGCCGCGUGUGUGAAGAAGGCCUUAGGGUUGUAAAGCACUUUCAGUAGGGACGAAAAGCCGCAGGAUAAUACCCGGCGGUCUUGACUUAACCUACAGAAGAAGCACCGGCUAACUCC